GAACAAGGGGGAGCGGACUGGGAGAGAAAUCAAGCUGAAUUGGAGCAGUGGUCGACUUUGACGCAGUGCGCAGCAGCAGCCAUCCAGAGAUAUCUAUCUACGUGUGAGAGUGGAGGCAGACAAAACUGCAGGAAUGUGGAGGGAUAAAAGGGAGACGAGAAGAAUGAGGAGAAGGAAUCCUGUCGCUGCUCAAAUUCCCGAGGGCAAUGAGGGCCGUCAGGCCCUGAGCUGAGCCGAACUGAGCUGCAAGAUUGAAAGGAGGAAGAAGAAGAAAAGCUCACGCCCCCAAAGGUAAGAAGUAGUAACUAGUGCUAUCCUCUCAUUCCUCUACUAAUGUGUGCAGCACCAGUCCUUCCCACAGUUCCCACACAGAGAGGAGAGAAAAAGAGAGAAGCAAACUAACUUCGCUCAGUUUCAGUUCAGCUCCUGCCUGCUUGCAGCUGCUUCUGCUCCUGUUUCUGCUACUGCUCGCCUGUUGGCUGCUGCUGCUGUUCCCAAAGGACGCGGACUAAGAAGCAGUAGAGCACUACUGCUGGUUAAGAGAGAGACCUUCCCAACACUUUAGUGUGAAGAGAGAGGCACACUGCCUGUGCUGCUGCUGCUGCUGCUGGGGACUGUGUCACUGCAAGAGUGAGUGUGUGUGUGUGUGUGUGUGUGAGAGAGAGAGUGUGUGGGAGCAAGCGAGUGAGUGAGCGAGUUAAACCCAGUGUGGAAGGAGCGACCAAGCGUGUAACUCUAGGAGCGUGUGAGUGAGAAAAGAGAGAGGACCUCAGGGAGGGCAAAUGAACAAGUGAGUGAGAGUGUGUGUGAGGAAGCAACCAAGGAGGACUAGGAGUCUCUCUUUCUCACUCUCACUCUCACCCCCCUCUCUCUCUCUCUCUCUCAGAGCUGGACAAGAAAAAGAAGAGCCACUUGGCUAGAGACUUUCUACUAGGUGCUAGUCCAGGCAGAGGGACAAAACAGCAUCCAUGCACACAGCAACAGGUAGAUUGAUAGAUAGGAUGGACACAAAAUGGGAGCAAGAAGCAGAAGAAGCAGCCCUGGAGCUAGCAACAGUGGUGUGCUCACUGGGGGAGGAGCAGCAGCAGGAUCCUGGUGAAAGAGCAAAGGGGGCCUAUAUAGUGUUUAGUGGGGUCUAGCAGCUGCUGCAGCUGCAACCAACAGGAGGGGAGGAGUAGGGGGCUCCAACAUUGCAAAUCUGCAGCUCAUCCUGAUCAUGGUGGGAUCAGGAAAUCCAUAAAUAUGGCUGAUUCAACUAAUAAAACCUGGGGAUUAGAGUGGGCUGGUACGCUAUACGGCUGGGAGAGAGGGAGAGAGCAGCUGAUUCUCCUCUAAUUGCCUGCCUUGCUUUAUCUUAUUUUCUUUUGUUUUGGGGAGUUGGGGAGAUUUUUCUGUCCAAGUGCUGGUUGACAACACUGGCUCCCUUAUUUUAUUCCAAUCCGGACGCCAACCCGCGCCUCCAAUCCGCCUUAAUCCCGCGGCCAAGAACACGUUACAAAUGCACAAAGUUUGUGUACCUCCUCUCCUACGCCUAGUGUGUCCAAUGGAGACGGGAAGGGGGCGUGUGUCAGGUUUGGCUGGCUCCCGCUGCCAAAUUGGGCUUAGAAGCCUCCCCACAUUUAGAGACCAAAAGCUUGGAGCUUGGACCAAACCGUAGAGUGAGAAAGAACAGCUGCAGGCCUCAAGUAUAACUUGAUCAGAGAGAGAUCAGAGCAGGAAUUGAAUGACGCUUGUUUUG
Long non-coding RNA from Selaginella moellendorffii, 1738 nucleotides. RefSeq lists it as uncharacterized. The record is from RefSeq and is a predicted model, not a curated record. NCBI's taxonomy places the organism in Eukaryota, Viridiplantae, Streptophyta, Lycopodiopsida, Selaginellales, Selaginellaceae. The transcript has 2 exons.